CUCUGUCAGAUUCUCUGUAAAUGUGCCACUGCAGCAGCCCAAUAUCUCCCUAACAUCUCCUAAUAGAGGACUGGUCUGGGGUCCUGAAGGUGCAGAGGUCACUAGGGGCUACAGCUUUGUCUUGACCUGCUCCAUUAACUCCAACUAUCAUGAAGGCCGUUUCUUGCUCAUCUUCUCUGGCUCCAACAUCACCAACACCAAACCUGCAGUCAACCUCUCAGCCUCCUUUAACUACCCUGUAGCUGAGUAUGAACAUGAGGGCAACUACAGCUGUGUGUAUGAAGUCACUCUGUCCAGACUGAACUUCAGUUCACCAGAGACAGCACCGAUUACUGUUACCAUUAAAUUGCCGUUGUUGCUGCUGGUGUCCUCAGUAGCUGCUGGAAGUCUGCUGC
Long non-coding RNA from Scomber japonicus (chub mackerel), 395 nucleotides. RefSeq lists it as uncharacterized. The record is from RefSeq and is a predicted model, not a curated record. The transcript has 3 exons. NCBI's taxonomy places the organism in Eukaryota, Metazoa, Chordata, Actinopteri, Scombriformes, Scombridae.